This 4417-nucleotide long non-coding RNA is filed under the name Malus domestica (apple). RNAcentral describes it as "long non-coding RNA (MDOM_LNC019688)". Lineage: Eukaryota; Viridiplantae; Streptophyta; Magnoliopsida; Rosales; Rosaceae. The record is from RNAcentral.
CCACCUAGCAUAACUAUAGUUGUUUCUCACUGUUUCUAAGUGUUUUUAGUGUGUUUUGAAGUGUUUUAUUGUGUCUUGAAAGAAAAAUACGAAAAUUUGAAAAACAAAAUAGAAAAUGUUUUGAAAAACCCAAAAAGAGUCGUUUUAGAGUCAUUUUUGUGUGUUUGUGUCUUAAGGUAUCUUCCAACACAAUGAUGAGGAUUUAGUUUUUAAUUACAUGACUAUUAAAGAAAGUUACAAACAUGGAUGGAAGUUUGAUAUGCUCUUUGGUUUAUGCUUGGUUGUAGUUGUUGUUUACGAAUUCAGAUGUAAUCACAAAGGAGAAAAUCAGUUUUUGUAACAUGCUUGAAGGAAGGAACUCAAACUAACGCUACAACCCUGAGAGACUUGAGCCUGAACUUUAUUUGUAGAGUUAUUAAUCUGUGAUUUCUUGUUUUCUAAAGUUGUUGCAUGAUCUCAUUAUUCUUUGCUUGGUUACUACUUAGAAUGCGUUUUAUCAUUUUAGUUCCAAAUACUAGAACUCAUUUUUUAUUCCAAAUUCGUAGGAUUUUACCACCUAGCAUAACUAGAGUUGUUUCUCACCGUUUCUAAGUGUUUUUAGUGUGUUUUGAAGUGUUUUAUUGUGUCUUGAAAGAAAAAUACGAAAAUUUGAAAAAAAAAAAAGAAAAUGUUUUGAAAAACCCAAAAAUAGUCAUUUUAGAGUCGUUUUUGUGUGUUUGUGUCUUAGGGUAUCUUCCAACACAAUGAUGAGGAUUUAGUUUUUAAUUACAUGACUAUUAAAGAAAGUUACAAACAUGGAUGGAAGUUUGAUAUGCUCUUUGGUUUAUGCUUGGUUGUAGUUGUUGUUUACGAAUUCACAUGUAAUCACAAAGGAGAAAAUCAGUUUUUGUAACAUGCUUGAAGGAAGGAACUCAAACUAACGCUACAACCCUGAGAGACUUGAGCCUGAACUUUAUUUGGAGAGUUAUUAAUCUGUGAUUUCUUGUUUUCUAAAGUCGUUGCAUGAUCUCAUUAUUCUUUGCUUGGUUACUACUUAGAAUGCAUUUUAUCAUUUUAGUUCCAAAUACUAGAACUCAUUCCCAUUUCAUUCAAAGCUUAAAAUUGAGUGCUAACAUAUAACAAGAUAAAGUUGUUUAGUAGUUACCACCAGAGCCAAAAAGCCUUCAUCCCAUGCAUUUGUUUUGUAGGUUUAACCCCUUUUGAGCCUUUUUGAGCCUAUUUUCUUUGUUAGCCACAUUAUCCUUACCUAGCCUAGAAUAGGACCAUCCAUACCCUUGUUCUUGAAGUGCAGUGGAGCAUGACUUAAAGGGAAUUCCUUUUGAUCAAACAUAUUACAGAAAUCAAGUGUGGGGGAAGGAUAUGUACAAGGGUAGAAAGAAAACAAAACGAGAAGAAAAAAUAGACAAAAAAAAACAUGAAAAAGAAGAAAAAGUGGAAAAAGAAAGAAAAAAAGUUGUGAAAGAAGUGAGAAAGAACUCACAAAUAUUGGUUGUUGAAGAAAGGGUCCAAAAGUUUGAAUAUGACCCUGAAUAUGUACGAAAUCCCCUUAGUGUUUCGAGUUAUUUGCUGCAUUCAAGAGUGAAUUCUAAGUUGAUUUCAUUGCUUUGCUUACUAUUGCUUUAAGAACCUUUGUUUAUCUUAACCUUUCUUUGUUAGCCAAUACCCUUAGCCCUAUUACAACCCUUAGACUUCUAUCUUGGUUGUUGUGUGUUCCAAUCUGUGGAGUUUGGAAUUGGUAUGAGCAUAUGGUAUCCCUGGUUCUCGCGUCUAAGUAGUAGCAUCCCGUUCAUGAGAUCACAUAUAUAUACAUGCAUUAAUAAUUCCAGAAAGUGAUUUCUUUGCUUAAAACAUAUGUGAAUGGCUAGUCUACAUGUUUACAUCAAUCUUCUCACAUAUACCUAGUAUAACGAGUAUAGUCAGAAAUUCUGUGUGAAAAUAAAGUGUAUAUCCGGUGAGGAAUUGAGGGAUUCUCUAAGGCAUGUUACUACAUUCAAAACAUUGUUUUAAAUUGAUUAAAUGCGAGCCCGUGAGUGGUGACCGUGAUUAAGUAUGUGCUCAGGAGUAAGGAUAGCUAAAAUGUUUCAUUGGAAAUCCCUGAGGCGAAUGUUGGAAGGUCUAGGUUAUAUUUUGUUUGUUUUGUUUCCUUUGUUUUGCUCAAGGACUAGCAAAAGCUAAGUGUGGGGGAAUUUGAUAGGAGCAUAUUUAUGCGACUUAGUUAGCAUGUUUUCUUGCAUUUGUGUUGUUAGUUCUUACUUAUUAUAGUGUUUUAAGCUAUUUUCGUGUGUUUGUAGGUCCAAAUGACAAAGUUGGCAAGAAAGUGCAAUUUGUAGCAUUUUGGAGCAGUUUUGGGCAUCAAAUGGAUAGCAUAUGUGGGGAGCACUUGGGAUGGAUAGGAAUAUGCUAAGGAGAUGAAUAAAAUAAAUUCGAGACAAAGAAGAUAAGGAAUCAGCUCAAAAUGAGGAACAUUAUCCAAAACCUUAUCCAACCUUAUCUUAUCCAAACUAACCUUAUCUUAUCUUAUCCUAUCCUCAUCUCAUCAUACCUUAAAUCUAGCUGCAAGGGGACCUAAAUAUCUAUUUCUUGAAGCUAUUUCAAGAAGCAUUCCCUUCUAGAAGUCCUAAUUUCUGCCACAAAACACAUUGUUUAUAGAAACCCUAAAAAGGUGGCGCCUAUUCCCUUAUAGAAGGCCUUGCCUUACCUUGCACUCCUCUCCUUUUCCCUCCAAUUUGUGCCGCACCUUUCCUUACCCUUUUCCCUCAUGGAUUCUGAUUUAAUUAGCAUUUUCCUUGUGGAUUUGGGUUAUGUAAAUCCUUUUCAGAAAUUAACUGGGCCAAACCUUUUUACAGGUGGACUUAUACCUUUAUGUUGAACCCUAGGCGCCCUAAUCCUUGAUUUUUGCUAAGUUCUAACCCUAACCGGAUUCCCCUAGGGUUUGUCGUGCCUUUAUAUACAUAUUUUUAGCACAAAUUCGCACCCCCCCAUGUAAUUCAGAAACACAUUCAGUCGUAAUUCACACCAUUCUACAUCCUUUGCCGCACCAUUGGAGAAGAUGAAGUCUUCCCAUGGCUUCCAUUGGAGAGGGAAGACCUUGUGCGCAAGCCACCUGCAACCAUUGGAGUUCUAAGAGUUCUUUCUUCCCUCGUUUCGUUUCCAUGUUUAUUUUAUGUUGCUUUUCAAUUGUUAUGAACAUGUGGAACUAAUUCCUUUUUAGUUAGAGGUGAAUUCAAAGCCAUGGACAUAUGUUUAAUAUGAAUUGAUUACUUUCAAUUUUUGUUUCAUAAAACAUGAAUGUGAUUUACUUAUCUGUUUGAUUGAUAACUUAUUCUUGUCUAUUGAUUAAGGAUGCAUACUUAGUUUGCAUGCAUGAAUCUAAUGCUAAAUUGUAAGGGACUUUCACCUAAUCGUUAGGAACUUAUAAUUAAAAGUAGUGAAGGUUGCUAGCCACAAUCAUGUCAAGUAGAUUCUUGGCUGGAGUAUCAUGCAAUUCAUAGUUACGAUAGCCUUGUCAAUGCUUAUGAUCUCGAUGGAACUUAAUGAUCUUUGAAUGUAUCUCUAUCAUGCCGUUCAUAUAGGGAACUUGAUGAGAAUAAUUUGGUUGUGAUGCGUUGUCCAUUCAAUUCAAUGAAUUUAGGGAAAUCUGAGAGUUAAUUAGUGCAUUCACGAUUAAUUUGGGGCAUUGUCAUUCACGGUUUAAAGAAACAAUACUGGAAAUCAAUUUAUGUUGCAUAUGUUCAUGUAUGGAGAAGGACCCUCUAACUAGCUUUUCACCCUUGAAUUCACCUUAAUUUCAUUUUAACUUACUUUGUUUGCUGCAAUUUACUUAGUUUUGUCAAAUUCGUCCAAAAACCCCCUUAGUUCUUAGUUGGUGUCUUAGUUUAGUUAAUUUCGUUCAAAUUUGUCCCCAUUUAGUGUUUUGAGUCAAGUUAGUUUAAAGUUCAUCCAAAGCACUCUUUAGUUGUUGUUUUGAGUCUUUUUAACUUAGUUUUGCUGUUUUGAGUCAAUUUGGUUAGUUUUGAGUCAUAAGAGUCUAGUUUGCUGUUUUUGAGUCUAGUUAAGUGUUUUAAAGUUUAAAUUGAGUAGAUUAGCAUUCCUUCUAAUCUCCGGCCUAGAACGACCCCUGCUUACAUAUACUACAAUCAUAGGGUUUUAAUUUGCUUGUUGGAAUAUUUCACGUCACUAUUUUCACUUACUUUAUUGUCAUUUACCUAUGCUUAAGUAUGUAAUCUUGUGUAACAACCUAUCUCUAAAUUAUGAUUUUUAUCAUUUUAAUAAGUGAAUUUACGAAAAUGCCCUUUGAGGAAAUGUGUUGACUUUUGUUGACUACCGUGUCAUGUUAUGCAAGAUUCGUUUUCUUGGUGUAUUAUUGUAGUACUCGUCACUAUGGACGCAUGGGCAUAAAUGGAACGCAAUUUGGAGU